UUUUCCAAGUGGAAAGCGUGGUUCGUUUUAUUCAGUCGGCUUACUCGGUGGAAAUAGACUAUCUAGACUUUGUUGUUGACCAGAAAGGAGUUUGUCACUGCUCGGAUUCUUCUGGUUGUGCUACAACGCUUCACCAUCGCCAUUUUGAAGCUCCAGGAGAGCCCAUUUUGUUGGUUACUUUGGUCAGGUUUUUUUUUGGGAGUACAGUUCGGUGAUGAUCCGGUCCAAAGAUGGUGAGCCACCCCUCCAGGAUCCUUGAGAUGAUUGUUUUAAGAAGAGAACUAAAUUCUUUGGACGAGCCGUGAACUGUACAAAUUCUACUUAAGUGGUAGGACAGAUUUGCACCUCAUUCCUCCUUUGCACAUCCUGCAAGGAGAAUCCUCAUUGCUGGACUCACACUUAAGGGUGUCGGCUGACACGAGAGAGAGACUGAUUCAAAUCCCCCGGGGUGUGUGUGUUUUGUUUAUUAUUUUCCAUGACUUGGGCCCAAUUUUUCCUUUCAUGUACUGUUAUUGUUUUCAUUGUAUGUAUGUGAGAUUCUUU
Molecule: long non-coding RNA, 543 nt
Organism: Pelmatolapia mariae (spotted tilapia)
Lineage: Eukaryota; Metazoa; Chordata; Actinopteri; Cichliformes; Cichlidae
Exons: 3
Source: RefSeq, a predicted model, not a curated record